RNAcentral lists this small RNA (349 nucleotides) under Homo sapiens (human). RNAcentral describes it as "partial LSINCT7 non-coding RNA". Lineage: Eukaryota; Metazoa; Chordata; Mammalia; Primates; Hominidae. The record is from RNAcentral.
CGCGGUGGGCGCGCCUGCAGUCGCGGCGCUUUGGGGGCCCGGGCCACGUAGCACGACCCUGCCUGUGAACGCACAGACACCAGCGGUUCCAAGGGCGCGGGCAGGAAGCGGGCACCGAAGGCAGGCUGGAGAAGCGCGGGGCGGAAGCAAGAAGCCGCGCGGCGAGGAGGGCGCGUGGGGCCCCACACAGCCAUGGGGCGCGCGUACUACUGGCAGCGCAGGCUCUGGACCGCUAAGGAGGCCGCGCGCGCCCACGCGUGUCCCCGGCAGAGCUUCCAGGAGACGGCUGCGAGGCCCUUCCACCCGCGGACCAGAGCGCGCCGGGUCGAACCACGACCCACGUGCAGGC